RNAcentral lists this ribosomal RNA (254 nucleotides) under uncultured bacterium. Its description in RNAcentral is "partial 16S ribosomal RNA". It matches the Rfam family "Bacterial small subunit ribosomal RNA", at positions 524 to 776 of the family's 1533-position model. The record is from RNAcentral.
CACGUAGGGGGCAAGCGUUGUCCGGAUUUAUUGGGCGUAAAGAGCUCGUAGGCGGUUCGAUAAGUCGGGUGUGAAACCUCCAGGCUCAACCUGGAGACGCCACCCGAUACUGUUGUGACUAGAGUCCGGUAGGGGAGCGUGGAAUUCCUGGUGUAGCGGUGAAAUGCGCAGAUAUCAGGAGGAACACCAAUUGCGAAGGCAGCUCGCUGGAACGUAACUGACGCUGAGACGCGAAAGCGUGGGGAGCAAACAGG